This 1467-nucleotide ribosomal RNA is filed under the name Klebsiella pneumoniae. Its description in RNAcentral is "partial 23S ribosomal RNA". It matches the Rfam family "Bacterial large subunit ribosomal RNA", at positions 1 to 1506 of the family's 2925-position model. Lineage: Bacteria; Pseudomonadati; Pseudomonadota; Gammaproteobacteria; Enterobacterales; Enterobacteriaceae. The record is from RNAcentral.
GGGUUGUGAGGUUAAGCGACUAAGCGUACACGGUGGAUGCCCUGGCAGUCAGAGGCGAUGAAGGACGUGCUAAUCUGCGAAAAGCGUCGGUAAGGUGAUAUGAACCGUUAUAACCGGCGAUGUCCGAAUGGGGAAACCCAGUGUGAUUCGUCACACUAUCGUUAACUGAAUACAUAGGUUAACGAGGCGAACCGGGGGAACUGAAACAUCUAAGUACCCCGAGGAAAAGAAAUCAACCGAGAUUCCCCCAGUAGCGGCGAGCGAACGGGGAGCAGCCCAGAGUCUGAAUCAGCUUGUGUGUUAGUGGAACGGUCUGGAAAGUCCGACGGUACAGGGUGAUAGUCCCGUACACCAAAAUGCACAGGUUGUGAACUCGAAGAGUAGGGCGGGACACGUGGUAUCCUGUCUGAAUAUGGGGGGACCAUCCUCCAAGGCUAAAUACUCCUGACUGACCGAUAGUGAACCAGUACCGUGAGGGAAAGGCGAAAAGAACCCCGGCGAGGGGAGUGAAAAAGAACCUGAAACCGUGUACGUACAAGCAGUGGGAGCACCUUCGGGUGUGACUGCGUACCUUUUGUAUAAUGGGUCAGCGACUUAUAUUCUGUAGCAAGGUUAACCGUAUAGGGGAGCCGCAGGGAAACCGAGUCUUAACUGGGCGUUAAGUUGCAGGGUAUAGACCCGAAACCCGGUGAUCUAGCCAUGGGCAGGUUGAAGGUUGGGUAACACUAACUGGAGGACCGAACCGACUAAUGUUGAAAAAUUAGCGGAUGACUUGUGGCUGGGGGUGAAAGGCCAAUCAAACCGGGAGAUAGCUGGUUCUCCCCGAAAGCUAUUUAGGUAGCGCCUCGUGAACUCAUCUUCGGGGGUAGAGCACUGUUUCGGCUAGGGGGUCAUCCCGACUUACCAACCCGAUGCAAACUACGAAUACCGAAGAAUGUUAUCACGGGAGACACACGGCGGGUGCUAACGUCCGUCGUGAAGAGGGAAACAACCCAGACCGCCAGCUAAGGUCCCAAAGUCAUGGUUAAGUGGGAAACGAUGUGGGAAGGCACAGACAGCCAGGAUGUUGGCUUAGAAGCAGCCAUCAUUUAAAGAAAGCGUAAUAGCUCACUGGUCGAGUCGGCCUGCGCGGAAGAUGUAACGGGGCUAAACCAUGCACCGAAGCUGCGGCAGCGACACUAUGUGUUGUUGGGUAGGGGAGCGUUCUGUAAGCCUGCGAAGGUGUGCUGUGAGGCAUGCUGGAGGUAUCAGAAGUGCGAAUGCUGACAUAAGUAACGAUAAAGCGGGUGAAAAGCCCGCUCGCCGGAAGACCAAGGGUUCCUGUCCAACGUUAAUCGGGGCAGGGUGAGUCGACCCCUAAGGCGAGGCCGAAAGGCGUAGUCGAUGGGAAACAGGUUAAUAUUCCUGUACUUGGUGUUACUGCGAAGGGGGGACGGAGAAGGCUAUGUUAGCCGGGCGACGGUUGUC